Long non-coding RNA from Oncorhynchus tshawytscha (Chinook salmon), 2946 nucleotides. RefSeq lists it as uncharacterized. The record is from RefSeq and is a predicted model, not a curated record. Lineage: Eukaryota; Metazoa; Chordata; Actinopteri; Salmoniformes; Salmonidae. The transcript is spliced from 4 exons.
UAUGUCUAUUACAUGAAAUCCAAAUAAAAAUAAAAUAAAAUUACAGGUUGUAAAUGCAACAAAAUAGAAAAAACCCAGGGGGAUGAAUACUCUUGCGAGGCACAGUAUGUGAUCUUCCUGACUGGGUCUGGAUGGGGUUAUCCUUCUCUAGGUGUUAUUUAACACAUUUAAGGCAGGUCUGCUGGGGCAGCUGGAGGAGAUGAGGGAUGAGCAUCUGGCCAAGGUCCUCACGCUGCUCCAGACUGUCAGCGGAGGAUAGAGCUCCAGAAUGUGAUGGCGAGAAGGUAACAGAUCAUGGCUUAAUUUGCUCUAGUAAAGUACCUAAAUGAAGUCCGUUGUCCUAGAGUAUUGGGGAAGUACUGUAUUAUCUCUUUGGAGUGUUGUCACAUCAUAAUGGAACAAUUCCAGAACACUUCAUAGGAAUAUAAAGACAUCAGUGAAAACAAACCAACUUCUCCACCAGCUGCUUCCUCCAGCAGGUUCAAUAGUAAUGUGAUCACGUGUACCUUUCAGUUUGUGAUAUAUUAUACCUUUGUGUACACUCUCAUGGUCUUGUAUGUGUGGUAUGCAAGGGCAAUGUUAGCAGUGUGUGUGAGGCAUGUGCUUGUUCAUGUAUGGUUAAUAUUGUUAAUAUUGACCCCAUUCCCCCUCGCUCACACAAAUUCUUUCCCACCCCUCCCCCCUCUCUGCUCUUCCUAAAUUAAACAAUGCUGAUGGUGUCCUUAGAGCCAGGUGGCGACAUGUGUCAAGUAGCAGCUGCUCGGGCCCACACUAAAAGUACCCCCGCCUGCCCCGUGGCCUCUAGCCUCUUUUGUUCCAGGCGCCUGCAGUUCUAAGUGAGCACAUAGAUGGGAUAUGUGGUGGGUGACAGAGGAUUAUAGCCUGUCGUCUAACAGAGGGCUUUAGUUUCUAAAUAAACACAGAGACACUCACGUUUGAGAGGCAAUGAGCACAGAGUCACGUUUGAAAUGCAAUCAUACUCAUACCACAGCGACCACCCAUUCACCCUGCUACCCCCGUCACCCUGCCCUGGCCAUGGCCCUGCAUUCACUCACGCACACAUUCACAACUGACAGGAAGUGCCUGACCAUGUUGCAAAAGGUCAUUUUUGUCUGUCAUGGACCUGCAGAAUGACAAGCAGCAACUUCAAUAGAAGCUGACCAAGUGAGAACAAUCUACUUGAUUGAAGACUGAUCAGUUCUCUGGUCAAUGAUCAAUUAAAAAAUAUUAAUGUAAUCUACUCUUCCUUCGAUUCAGGAAAGACUUUGAAAUUAACCAGAUCACCACCAAGAUUGAAGAUGAACAAGCCUUGACCAUUCAGCUCCAGAAAAAGAUCAAGGAAUAACAGGUUCGUAUCGAGGAGCUGUAGUCUGACCGGGCGUCCUUUGCCAAGGUGGAGAAGCAGCUGGGUGAUGCCAAGAUGGAGGCGAACGAUCUGGCAUCCAACGUGGAACAGCUCUCCAAGAGCAAGGCUGAUGCUGAGAAGAUGUGUCGUCUGUAUGAGAACCAGAUAAGCGAGACCAUGGACAAGGUGGAUGAGCACCAGAAGUAGAAUAAUGACACCAACUCCCAGAGAGCCCGCACUCAGGCCGACUGUGCCGAGUUUGGCAGAAAGCUGGAGGAACGGGAAGCCGUGGUCACUCAGCUGCAGCGCACCAAGCAUUCCUUCAGUCCAACAUUCCAUGUCAGCAGCCCUAUUCUGUAGUGGAGUGCUUAUUCAGAAUUGGGAAUGACAUGGAAAUUAAUGGGAUUGGGAAUAAUAGUAUUCCUGGUUCCAGCAUCAGUCUGGUAGCAAAAUGAAUGUGUAUAACCAUCUCAAUAUACAUACACCACCUAGUUGUUGUGCUUAAAAGUACGACUGACCUUACCUCCUUCCACCAUCUUGGCGCUAUCUCCACUAUCAUUGUCUUCAGACAUAGAGCGCCCUGGGCCAUGCUUUCCAGUCCUACUGCCAUGACUGUGACCUGCUGAGGGAACAGUAUGACGAGGAGCAGGAGGCCAAGGCUGACCUGCAGCGAACCCUGUCCAAGGCCAACGCUGAGGUGGCUCAGUGGCCGUUACAGUCAAUACUACUCACCAAUGUGCUAUCAUUGGACAAUAAACUAGACGAGGUACGAUCACGAAUAUCCUACCAACGGGACAUCAAAAACUGAAAUAUCCUAUGUUUCAUGGAAUCGUGGAUGGAUGACGACAUGGAUAUUUAGCUAGUGGGAUAUAUGCUGCACCAGCAAGAUAGAACAGCACAUUCCAAUGUUUACUACAUUGGUUGUAAAUUAUGAAACAUGCCCUUCUUUUACCACUAUAUAAACCCGUUGAAGAAAAUUCAACUUUCUGUUCCAAGGACAUGAGGACUUGCGGUCCCCACGUUGAAAGGACAAAGAUCACCUACAGAACUAAGCCAACUUCAGGGUGAGCUCUGGUUGAACGACAAGAACCUAACAAAAUUAGCAUCGAAUUUCAACGUGAAGAUGCCGAUCAACACGUCGAAAGGAUGAAUUUCAACUAUACCAGCCAGAACAUAGCAUGGGCUUGAAGUAUGGCAACUUGGUAUGAACUUUGAACUCUUAUUCACUAAAGAAGUGAUACUUCCUAGCCGUUGCAUUAGGAACAGCAGCUGUAAACGUGGGCUAGGAGAGGACGGACAGAGUAUCCAUUCUACUACGUUCCAGUUCACAACUAGACAUUCUUCAGAGGACAAGAGAUCCAUGCUGGACAACCCGGCCUUCUAUCUACGACCAAUCUACCGAAGCGCAGCUCAGAGUAAAUAUUUAUUGCAUUUUCCUUUUUCAAACGGGCGGUUAUUUAGAAUGCAUAAGAUACUGUAUUUACGAUAGCAUAGCCUCCUACGGCCCGAUAGAGAUACAAAAUAAUUUUGUUCCUCAGUCUUCCCGCUCUUUCAUUCAAAACCCAACCCCCUUUCUUUGUGUAACCAGCCGUCAUAUCUGU